RNAcentral lists this transfer RNA (81 nucleotides) under Triticum aestivum (bread wheat). It matches the Rfam family "tRNA". From Rfam's summary of the family: Transfer RNA (tRNA) molecules are approximately 80 nucleotides in length. Their secondary structure includes four short double-helical elements and three loops (D, anti-codon, and T loops). The record is from Rfam by way of RNAcentral. Lineage: Eukaryota; Viridiplantae; Streptophyta; Magnoliopsida; Poales; Poaceae.
UUCAAGAUGGCCGAGUUGGUCUAAGGCGCCAGUUUUAGGUACUGGUCCGAAAGGGCGUGGGUUCAAAUCCCACUGUUGACA